UACGGGAGGCAGCAGUGGGGAAUAUUGGGCAAUGGGGGAAACCCUGACCCAGCAACGCCGCGUGAGGGAAGAAGGUUUUCGGAUCGUAAACCCCUGUCCUUGGUGGAGAGGAAGAGACGGUAGCCAAGGAGGAAGCCCCGGCUAACUACGUGCCAGCAGCCGCGGUAAU
RNAcentral lists this ribosomal RNA (169 nucleotides) under uncultured rumen bacterium. RNAcentral's name for it is "partial 16S ribosomal RNA". It matches the Rfam family "Bacterial small subunit ribosomal RNA", at positions 340 to 524 of the family's 1533-position model. The record is from RNAcentral.